Molecule: ribosomal RNA, 463 nt
Filed under: uncultured bacterium
Lineage: Bacteria
Description: bacterial SSU rRNA
Rfam family: Bacterial small subunit ribosomal RNA
Source: RNAcentral
GAAUUCAACUCCUACGGGAGGCAGCAGUGGGGAAUAUUGCACAAUGGGCGGAAGCCUGAUGCAGCAACGCCGCGUGCGGGAUGACGGCCUUCGGGUUGUAAACCGCUUUCGCCUGUGACGAAGCGUGAGUGACGGUAAUGGGUAAAGAAGCACCGGCUAACUACGUGCCAGCAGCCGCGGUGAUACGUAGGGUGCGAGCGUUGUCCGGAUUUAUUGGGCGUAAAGGGCUCGUAGGUGGUUGAUCGCGUCGGAAGUGUAAUCUUGGGGCUUAACCCUGAGCGUGCUUUCGAUACGGGUUGACUUGAGGAAGGUAGGGGAGAAUGGAAUUCCUGGUGGAGCGGUGGAAUGCGCAGAUAUCAGGAGGAACACCAGUGGCGAAGGCGGUUCUCUGGGCCUUUCCUGACGCUGAGGAGCGAAAGCGUGGGGAGCGAACAGGAUUAGAAACCCUAGUAGUCCAGGCGUU